Microcebus murinus (gray mouse lemur) is the source of this 96-nucleotide unclassified non-coding RNA. It matches the Rfam family "Y RNA". Rfam says of the family: Y RNAs are components of the Ro ribonucleoprotein particle (Ro RNP), in association with Ro60 and La proteins. Lineage: Eukaryota; Metazoa; Chordata; Mammalia; Primates; Cheirogaleidae. The record is from Ensembl.
GGCUGGUCUGAUGGUAGUGGGUUAUCAGAACUUACUCACAUUAGUGUCACUAAAGUUGGUAUACAAUCCCCUACUGCUAAAUUUGACUGGCUUAAA